Small nuclear RNA from Chlorocebus sabaeus (green monkey), 121 nucleotides. Its record names the gene U5. It matches the Rfam family "U5 spliceosomal RNA". From Rfam's summary of the family: U5 RNA is a component of both types of known spliceosome. The precise function of this molecule is unknown, though it is known that the 5' loop is required for splice site selection and p220 binding, and that both the 3' stem-loop and the Sm site are important for Sm protein binding and cap methylation. The record is from Ensembl. Lineage: Eukaryota; Metazoa; Chordata; Mammalia; Primates; Cercopithecidae.
CUACACUAGUUUCUCUUCAAAUCACAUGAAUUUUUUGCCUUUUACUAAAGAUUUCUGUGGAGAAAAGCAACUGUGAGUUUUAAGCUAAUUUUUUCUGACACCUUGCAUUUCUUAGCGCGGC